RNAcentral lists this ribosomal RNA (892 nucleotides) under Podospora tarvisina. RNAcentral describes it as "LSU rRNA". It matches the Rfam family "Eukaryotic large subunit ribosomal RNA", at positions 41 to 965 of the family's 3401-position model. The record is from RNAcentral. Lineage: Eukaryota; Fungi; Ascomycota; Sordariomycetes; Sordariales; Podosporaceae.
UAUCAAUAAGCGGAGGAAAAGAAACCCAACAGGGAUUGCCUCAGUAACGGCGAGUGAAGCGGCAACAGCUCAAAUUUGAAAUCUGGCCUCGGCCCGAGUUGUAAUUUGUAGAGGAAGCUUUUGGUGCGGCACCGACCGAGUCCCCUGGAACGGGGCGCCAUAGAGGGUGAGAGCCCCGUAUGGUUGGACGCCUAUCCUCUGUAAAGCUCCUUCGACGAGUCGAGUAGUUUGGGAAUGCUGCUCAAAAUGGGAGGUAAAUUUCUUCUAAAGCUAAAUAUUGGCCAGAGACCGAUAGCGCACAAGUAGAGUGAUCGAAAGAUGAAAAGCACUUUGAAAAGAGGGUUAAAUAGCACGUGAAAUUGUUGAAAGGGAAGCGCUUGUGACCAGACUUGCGCCUCGUCGAUCAUCCGGGGUUCUCCCCGGUGCACUCGGCGGGGCUCAGGCCAGCAUCGGUUUUCGUGGGGGGACAAAGGCACCGGGAACGUAGCUCCUCCGGGAGUGUUAUAGCCCGGGGCGUAAUGCCCUCGCGGGGACCGAGGACCGCGCUUCGGCAAGGAUGCUGGCGUAAUGGUCAUCAGCGACCCGUCUUGAAACACGGACCAAGGAGUCAAGGUUUUGCGCGAGUGUUUGGGUGUAAAACCCGCACGCGUAAUGAAAGUGAACGUAGGUGAGAGCUUCGGCGCAUCAUCGACCGAUCCUGAUGUAUUCGGAUGGAUUUGAGUAGGAGCGUUAAGCCUUGGACCCGAAAGAUGGUGAACUAUGCUUGGAUAGGGUGAAGCCAGAGGAAACUCUGGUGGAGGCUCGCAGCGGUUCUGACGUGCAAAUCGAUCGUCAAAUCUGAGCAUGGGGGCGAAAGACUAAUCGAACCAUCUAGUAGCUGGUUACCGCCGAA